This 253-nucleotide ribosomal RNA is filed under the name uncultured bacterium. Its description in RNAcentral is "partial 16S ribosomal RNA". It matches the Rfam family "Bacterial small subunit ribosomal RNA", at positions 524 to 776 of the family's 1533-position model. The record is from RNAcentral.
UACGGAGGGUGCAAGCGUUAGUCGGAAUUACUGGGCGUAAAGGGUGCGUAGGCGGCUAUGUAAGUCAGACGUGAAAUUCCGAGGCUCAACCUCGGAGCUGCAUCUGAAACUGCGUAACUAGCGGGAUGGCGGAGAAAACGGAAUUCCAUGUGUAGCGGUGAAAUGCGUAGAUAUAUGGAAGAACACCUGUGGCGAAAGCGGUUUUCUAGCCUCCCCCGGACGCUGAGGCACGAAAGCAAGGGGAUCAAACAGG